GGAUCUAAAUGAACGGUUGGGAUAACACCUGUCUCAAUGUCACAAAAUUAGGUGUAAACUUAAGAAACGGCUCUCAGCCGGUAACAUUUUCUCUUUUUGUUGGGGUACACGAGUCUUGCACCAUCCUCUCUCACUCUCUCUCUAUUUCAUUUUCUCUCUAACCCUACCCGCAAUAACCAUAACCCUCUUUCAAUAGCUUCAUGCCCUUCCAAUAAUGGAAGGAAGCCGCAAAAACCUAACCCUUUGUCAAAUGAAAGGAAGCUGUAGGGAUCCUACCCCUUUGUCAAAUGGAAGAAAGCUGCAAGAACCUACCCCUCUGUCAAUCGCUUCAAGAAUGGAGGUUUAGGUUUGCAAAUGGAGGGCAUUGCUAAUUAUCACUAGUUUUGAAAGAGAUGAGGUAGACUACUGCCACUUCAAUAAUGGAGGGUUACGUUUGGAAAUGGAGGGCACCUCUAGUUUUGAGAGAGAGGGGUGAACUACAGCCGUUUCAACAAUAGAGAAUUAGGUUUGCAAAUGGUGGGCAUCGCUAGUUUUGAGAGAGAUGGGGUGGACUACCGCUCGAUGUUGCGGGUGGAAAUAGUGCUAGCAAAGCUUCAGAUAGUUGCUUCAAUUUGGGUUGUGGUCCUCUUUGUUCUGUGAGUAUUUGUUCUAUCAAUAUAUGCGUUCUGUCAAUAUUUGCUUGCAUUUUGGCUACGGUUUGGGUGGUGGUUUGUUCAUCAAAAGACAAAAAUUCAAUUUGCAUUGUGGUGUCUUCAUGUUCUGUCAAUAUUUGCUUCAAUUUGUGUUGUGGUUUGGGU
This 797-nucleotide long non-coding RNA is filed under the name Amborella trichopoda. Its description in RNAcentral is "long non-coding RNA (ATRI_LNC003102)". Lineage: Eukaryota; Viridiplantae; Streptophyta; Magnoliopsida; Amborellales; Amborellaceae. The record is from RNAcentral.